GUGCUGCCAGGCUUGGGACACUGUUCAGGGCAGUGGGCUUUCCUCUGGCCAUCCAAGAGCCAAGGCCUGAAAUUAGGGACCCUAAGAGCCUACUUGGUGCUCUACCCUACUGUGGCCAAACUGGUAUCUAAGCGGUAAGACAAAGUCUUCUUUACUCUUCUGUUUCUCAAGCAGGAGUCAUUCCUGAAAGCCAUCACAGCUGGGAAUGUGCUGGGUCACACCUGAAGCCAGCGUCUGAGUCUCACCAAUGGCACAUGGGUGUUACUCCUCAGAGGUGGCCUCCCUCUGGGCCCAUCAUGCUGAGCCUGGGUUUAGCUGCAACUUCUGGAUCACUGAGAACUCUCAGUCCCACUGCAAAGAUAUACAUGGAAUUUACAUGAGACAUGGAUGACAUAAAGAAUAAGAGAAAGACAAGAGAGAAGAAUAGCCAACCAACAGUUCAGAAAAAAUCAGCACAUGAUAGCCCAUAGGAAAGAAAACUAAAUACUACAAAGAUAAUUUUUGGCCAGGUGCAGUGGCUCACACCUAUAAUCCCAGCACUGUGGGAGGCCAAACUGGAAGGACUACUUGACCCUAGGAGUUCAAGACCAACCUGGGUAACAUAAUGAGACACCAUCUCUACAAAACAAACAAAUGAGGCCGGGCACGGUGGCUCACGCCUGUAAUCCCAGCUCCGGGAGCCCGAGGCGGGUGGAUCACAAGGUCAGGAGAUCGAGACCAUCCUGGCUAACACGGUGAAACCCCGUCUCUACUAAAAAUACAAAAAAAUUAGCCAGGUGUGGCAGCAUGUGCCUGUGGUCCCAGCUACUCGGGAGGCUGAGGCAGGAGAAUGGUGUGAACCUGGGAAGCGGAGGUUGCAGUGAGCCGAGAUUGGGCCACUGCACUCCAGCCUGGUGGCAGAGCAAGACUCCGUCUCAAAAAAAAAAAAAAAAAAAAAACAAAACCAAAAAUACAAAUGAACAAAAAUUAGUUGGGCAGGGUGGCAUGCUCCUGUAGUCCCAGCUACUUAGGAGUCAGGUGGGAGGAUUACUUGAGCCCAGAAGGCUGAGAAUGAAGUGAACCAUGAUUGCAUCAGUAGACUGCAGCCUGGAUGACAGUGAAACCCUGUCUGAAAAAAAAAAAAACAAAAAAGCAAAAAAUACUCAGGGCACACUGGCUCAUGCUUGUAAUCCCAGCACUUUGGGAGGAUGAGGUGGGAGGAUCACGUGAGGUUGGGAGUCAGAGACCAGCCUGGGCAAUACAGCCAGAC
This 1249-nucleotide long non-coding RNA is filed under the name Homo sapiens (human). Its description in RNAcentral is "HSALNT0262953". The record is from RNAcentral. Lineage: Eukaryota; Metazoa; Chordata; Mammalia; Primates; Hominidae.